This 406-nucleotide ribosomal RNA is filed under the name uncultured bacterium. RNAcentral's name for it is "partial 16S ribosomal RNA". It matches the Rfam family "Bacterial small subunit ribosomal RNA", at positions 29 to 526 of the family's 1533-position model. The record is from RNAcentral.
AUUGAACGCUGGCGGCAGGCCUAACACAUGCAAGUCGAACGAGUGGCGGACGGGUGAGUAAUGUCUGGGAAACUGCCCGAUGGAGGGGGAUAACUACUGGAAACGGUAGCUAAUACCGCAUACCAUCGGAUGUGCCCAGAUGGGAUGAGCGAGUGGGUGGGGUAAUGGCUCACCUAGGCGACGAUCCCUAGCUGGUCUGAGAGGAUGACGGGCAACACGGGAACUGGGACACGGCCCAGACUCCUCCGGGGGGCAGCAUGGGGGAUGAUUGCACAAUGGGCGCAAGCCUGAUGCAGCAAUGCCGCGUGUAUGAAGAAGGCUUUCGGGUUUUAAAGUACUUUCAGCGAGGCGGCGUUACCCGCAGAAGAAGCACCGGCUAACUCCGUGCCAGCAGCCGCGGUAAUUC